CCUACGGGAGGCAGCAGUGGGGAAUAUUGGACAAUGGGCGAAAGCCUGAUCCAGCCAUGCCGCGUGUGUGAAGAAGGUCUUCGGAUUGUAAAGCACUUUAAGUUGGGAGGAAGGGUUGUAGAUUAAUACUCUGCAAUUUUGACGUUACCGACAGAAUAAGCACCGGCUAACUCUGUGCCAG
This 181-nucleotide ribosomal RNA is filed under the name uncultured Pseudomonas sp. RNAcentral describes it as "partial 16S ribosomal RNA". It matches the Rfam family "Bacterial small subunit ribosomal RNA", at positions 338 to 511 of the family's 1533-position model. The record is from RNAcentral. Lineage: Bacteria; Pseudomonadati; Pseudomonadota; Gammaproteobacteria; Pseudomonadales; Pseudomonadaceae.